CCUACGGGAGGCAGCAGUCGAGAGGCUUCGGCAAUGGGGGAAACCCUGACCGAGCGACGCCGCGUGCAGGAUGAAGGCCCUUGGGUUGUAAACUGCUUUUGUUGGGGAAGAAAUGCGAUCAGGUGAAUAAUCUGGUCGUUUGACGGUACCCGACGAAUAAGCUCCGGCUAACUCCGUGCCAGCAGCCGCGGUAACACGGGGGGAGCAAGCGUUGUUCGGAAUCACUGGGCGUAAAGGGCGUGUAGGCGGUUAAGUAAGUGGGAUGUGAAAGCCCCCAGCUCACCUGGGGAUCUGCAUUCCAAACUGCUUGACUUGAGUAUGGGAGAGGAUAGGGGAAUUCCUGGUGUAGCGGUGAAAUGCGUAGAUAUCAGGAGGAACACCGGUGGCGAAGGCGCCUAUCUGGCCCAAUACUGACGCUGAGGCGCGAAAGCUAGGGGAGCAAACGGGGAUUAGAUACCCCGGUAGUCCUAGCCGUAAACGGUGAUCACUAGGUGUUGGGUAGGCGAUCGACCCGUCCACGUGCCGCAGCUACGCAUAAGUAGAUCCGCCGUCGGGUAGGUACGGCCGGCGAGGUUAGAACGUACGAAUAGAAGUUAGACGCGUGAGACGUGCCGAACGGACGACGACGAGGGAGGUUAGG
RNAcentral lists this ribosomal RNA (640 nucleotides) under uncultured bacterium. RNAcentral's name for it is "bacterial SSU rRNA". The stretch from base 1 to 549 matches the Rfam family "Bacterial small subunit ribosomal RNA", at positions 338 to 873 of the family's 1533-position model. The record is from RNAcentral.